Molecule: transfer RNA, 72 nt
Filed under: Camelus bactrianus (Bactrian camel)
Lineage: Eukaryota; Metazoa; Chordata; Mammalia; Artiodactyla; Camelidae
Also listed under: 2 other names
Rfam family: tRNA
About the family: Transfer RNA (tRNA) molecules are approximately 80 nucleotides in length. Their secondary structure includes four short double-helical elements and three loops (D, anti-codon, and T loops). Further hydrogen bonds mediate the characteristic L-shaped molecular structure. tRNAs have two regions of fundamental functional importance: the anti-codon, which is responsible for specific mRNA codon recognition, and the 3' end, to which the tRNAs corresponding amino acid is attached (by aminoacyl-tRNA synthetases). tRNAs cope with the degeneracy of the genetic code in two manners: having more than one tRNA (with a specific anti-codon) for a particular amino acid; and 'wobble' base-pairing, i.e. permitting non-standard base-pairing at the 3rd anti-codon position.
Source: Rfam by way of RNAcentral
GAGGGUGUAGCUCAGUGGAAGAGCCCAUGCUUAGCAUGCAUGAGGUCUGGGGUUCAAUCCCCAGUACCUCCU